GUGAAUUUUUGUUUGAAGAAAGAGAACUGCAGAGCGAGGAGAGCGAAGGCUGUGGCUCCUGUGUCUGCCAGAGAAUCGUCUUAGAAGAAACCCUCCAGCUCCUACCUGUUACCUUGUGCAGAUAGAAAGGUCCUCAGGAGUCCAUCAGGGGGACAGAUGAAGACUGCUCGGCAGGAAGCUGGUGGAAACUUCUAAGGUAGAAAUGCUGGCAGAAAUUAAGAAGUCGAAACUAUGAACAUGGUUGUCAGUGGCAUUUAUAAGCAAUCUUAUUUUAGAAAACUUGAGUAAAAGUCUUGUGUGAUUUUUGGCCGGGCCCUCUGGUAGCUGCUGGGUGACUGCAGGAGCUGGGCCAGCAGUCAGGGAGGACAGGUCUGCAUGUGGAGAGAAGCUGGGCUGUGGGUGCCCAGGCUGGGCAGCUGCAUGACGUGUGGAGGUUUCCAGUGGUCAUGAGCAUGACUAGACAGUGUACAGCCUCUCCCAUGAGGCUGCGGUCAAAUCAGGACUGGAUUCCAAACUGGAGCCUGAUGGAGGAAUGAACUAAACUGCAAGGGUGGCUGCUGGCACAGAGCUCCUCAAGAUGUUGACAGAGGGAGAAAUGUGGU
RNAcentral lists this long non-coding RNA (602 nucleotides) under Homo sapiens (human). Its description in RNAcentral is "HSALNT0253086". The record is from RNAcentral. Lineage: Eukaryota; Metazoa; Chordata; Mammalia; Primates; Hominidae.